Molecule: ribosomal RNA, 200 nt
Filed under: uncultured bacterium
Lineage: Bacteria
Description: partial 16S ribosomal RNA
Rfam family: Bacterial small subunit ribosomal RNA
Source: RNAcentral
ACGCUCGACACCUACUGGAGGCAGCAGUGGGGAAUAUUGCACAAUGGGGGAAACCCUGAUGCAGCGACGCCGCGUGAGCGAAGAAGUAUUUCGGUAUGUAAAGCUCUAUCAGCAGGGAAGAAGAAAGACGGUACCUGACUAAGAAGCCCCGGCUAACUACGUGCCAGCAGCCGGCGGUAAUCUGAGCGGGCUGGCAAGGC